Molecule: ribosomal RNA, 482 nt
Filed under: uncultured bacterium
Lineage: Bacteria
Description: partial 16S ribosomal RNA
Rfam family: Bacterial small subunit ribosomal RNA
Source: RNAcentral
UGAACGCUGGUGGCAGGCCUAACACAUGCAAGUCGAGCGGAUGAAGGGAGCUUGCUCCUGGAUUCAGCGGCGGACGGGUGAGUAAUGCCUAGGAAUCUGCCUGGUAGUGGGGGAUAACGUCCGGAAACGGGCGCUAAUACCGCAUACGUCCUGAGGGAGAAAGUGGGGGAUCUUCGGACCUCACGCUAUCAGAUGAGCCUAGGUCGGAUUAGCUAGUUGGUGGGGUAAAGGCCUACCAAGGCGACGAUCCGUAACUGGUCUGAGAGGAUGAUCAGUCACACUGGAACUGAGACACGGUCCAGACUCCUACGGGAGGCAGCAGUGGGGAAUAUUGGACAAUGGGCGAAAGCCUGAUCCAGCCAUGCCGCGUGUGUGAAGAAGGUCUUCGGAUUGUAAAGCACUUUAAGUUGGGAGGAAGGGCAGUAAGUUAAUACCUUGCUGUUUUGACGUUACCAACAGAAUAAGCACCGGCUAACUUCGUG